Lycium barbarum (goji berry) is the source of this 905-nucleotide long non-coding RNA. RefSeq lists it as uncharacterized. The record is from RefSeq and is a predicted model, not a curated record. The transcript is spliced from 2 exons. NCBI's taxonomy places the organism in Eukaryota, Viridiplantae, Streptophyta, Magnoliopsida, Solanales, Solanaceae.
CGGAUUUGCUAAAAUAUCACAGUAGAUGGCAUUUGUGGUGCUACAUUGCUGAAAAGAUUCUGACUCCUAAAUUUAAAGUUUCAAGCUAGUUUGUUGGAAAGCUAUUCAAACAGUUAAGUUCCAGGUGGAAAGGGUUACUUUAUGUGAUUAUUAUCUGGAUUUUGAGUCCCGGAAUAGAAUAGUCUACUUGUAAUGUUCACUCAAAAAUUCCAAUUUUAAUUAAUAUAGACAUUCCUAUGUUCUUAUUUCUUAAAAGAAAAAAUUAUCUAAAUCAAUCGUGAUCAUUAGGCUGACCUUGAGCCUAUAUAUGUUUCCCUUAUGACUGUUUAUGUUAACUGGUUUCUGAUAACAUGCCAUUGUAGGAAGAAGCAUCGUCUGUUGAUUCUCUGAAACAUGUAGUCAUUGAUACUGCAACACUGAUGGCAAUAGUGUACUCCAUGGUAAAAAGUGACUACACAAUGCAGGAAAAAAUUGUUUCUUCCCUUAACCUCACUUCACCUUCCGGAGAAUUGGAUAGCUAUUCCAGCAUGUGGUCGUUGCGCCCUUACAUAGAUGAUGAAAUCAUGCAUAAAGCUUGGAAACUUGUCCGCUAACUCGUUCUAUAGCAGAAAAAGCUCUGCUGUAUAGUUUUCUUUCUGGAAAUUUGCUUGAAGCCGUAGAAAAAUGCAGUUGGGAGAUAAGAAAAAAAGACAGACGAAAGGAAGUACCGGAAAUAAUAGGAGUUUUGGCGGUAGAAGAAGGUUAUGAUAUUGAAGAUUAUUAAUUAUUGGUUCAAGUAUGUAAUUGUGUUAUAACAGUGAAUCAAGUGGAUUAACACAUUUACUUCUUUCUUUUAGGAAUUUACGCAAUGAUUUUUUCGCUUUCACUUUCAAACACCUGCUGAUAACUAGAGUCAUUCUUUGAUA